GAUAAAUAAAAAAUUAAUGAUUAUCACUGAUUGUUAGAAGAAGAUCACUGCUGAAGAUAACGUUACAUAGAAAGGAAUGGUGUUAAAAUCAAUCUACUCUGAGGAUUCAAUACUCCAAGUAUGCCAGAAGAGGGAAAUUCCACAACCCCUAGGCACUGUUCUUUGAAAGAAGAGCCCAUUCUCCUCCUGAGGGAGCCCUUUCCUACUCAGCUGUCAUUGAGCCUUCAGGGGAGUUUUCCUCCUGGUAAUUUCUCAGAGCCUAAUAGUGGCCAGAAAAAUCAGAUUUGCUGAGAACAUCUGGGAUUACAGAGAGCACUGAUGUGGAGAAAGGAAGGGCAUCGUGAUCUUAGAGAAACCUUCCUCUAUAGAGUAAGUACAGGGUCACUCUGCCUUAGUGCACUUGCUGUCUCCCAGAAAUUUCCUACCAAUUUCACAGCAGCAGUUCCGGACGAGUUACCAAAUAUGACAGUAUUUCUUUACUAAAAAAUCUAUCCCUCCCAAACUCUAGUUUAUGAAGAUUCUGACAUUGAUAUUUUACUUUUACAAAUUAUUUGAGAAAAAGCAUUUAAAUUCUAAGCAUGCAAACAUGACAAAAGGGCAUACUUACAAAGUGUCCCUUCCCUGGUCAUUACAGUCUGCCCCAACUGACCCCUCCCUCAUCCAUUGAGGUGUGUAGAAAAGAGGCAGAAAUUGCCCAUAAUCAUGCUAUGCCUUUCUACUGUACAUCCAAUAUGUGCUGUCAUU
This 744-nucleotide long non-coding RNA is filed under the name Callithrix jacchus (white-tufted-ear marmoset). Its description in RNAcentral is "lncRNA (ENSCJAG00000070786.1)". Lineage: Eukaryota; Metazoa; Chordata; Mammalia; Primates; Cebidae. The record is from RNAcentral.